UUUCGGCACGCAAAAGACGAGCGGGAUCCAUUUUCCAACAACAGAAUUCUUAAAAUAUAAUUAGGAAACACGCCUCCCAGUCCAAGAUGAUUGCAAUAAAAGUUUUAACAAGACAUAAACUACAACCGUGCGGGAAAGAUAUGUUGUUAAAUGAGCAUUACGGUACCUCUUGAGAAAGAUUUAUUUGACCUAAGAGGGUCAAAGUUACAGGUCAGACCUUGAGUGGCAUCGGCCAGACUGUGAGGCAGACUCUACACACGGAUCGGUGGGAAAAGGGUGGCGUAAACUCUUAUCUGAAUACGUGAAAUAGGCUUUUUGAGUAGACGGGAUCCCUGCUCAUUUUUUUACGGGACUUGCGAGAUUCCAAAGGGACGGAAGAAAUUUUUGGAGAAACGUUUUCACCAAAAUAACAGGAGAAGCACAUGUGAAUAGCUUUUCAGUCAUUGUAACAGUCCACAAGUAAAAGAUGGCGACCACUAUCCAACGCUCGAGCUGUGUCCUUGGUUGCACUCGAGUGAAUUCUGUGGAAUAAAGGAAUCGAAUUGUAAGGAGUGCGCGACUUCAUGUCUCAAAAAAGGCCCGAAAAUCAGUGAUGCCGUCCACGCCAGAGGAGCGGUCUGGAGGAUUGAGUCUCCCAGGUUCCUGACCUUCCUCUCACAGGUCAAAGUGGGAGGCUCCCAGCCCACUCAAAGCUGGGAGACUGAUGACACAGACCCCGGAUGUUUCAGCAACCCAGGUCCUCCCACUUUACCAAGCGAUGGAAUUUGGCGAAGACAGAGAGGUGUUUGUAAAUGUCUUCGACAUCGUUUGCAAAUGGCAAUCCAAACGUCCAUAUUGUGCCAUAGGAAGAAACCACAAACUUCCAGAAAUUUUUUUUAAAAUCAGUAAUUGCUAACGUUGUGACAUGACGGCCUGUAUUUCUCAAAAACAGUCUAGAUUCUGCUGAUGGGUGUUCGGAAAAUUGCAUUAUUGUGAGAUGAAUCAAACCACCGGAGAAAUAUAUAGCCACAGUGAUGCCCCCUAACACAUUAUUGCGCGUAACCAGGAGAACACGUCGUCCAAUAAACGAAAUUGUUCUGUAUUUAAAGGGU
Long non-coding RNA from Rhincodon typus (whale shark), 1091 nucleotides. RefSeq lists it as uncharacterized. NCBI's taxonomy places the organism in Eukaryota, Metazoa, Chordata, Chondrichthyes, Orectolobiformes, Rhincodontidae. The record is from RefSeq and is a predicted model, not a curated record. The transcript is spliced from 2 exons.